RNAcentral lists this ribosomal RNA (388 nucleotides) under uncultured eukaryote. RNAcentral describes it as "partial 18S ribosomal RNA". It matches the Rfam family "Eukaryotic small subunit ribosomal RNA", at positions 592 to 976 of the family's 1831-position model. The record is from RNAcentral.
CAAUAGCGUAUAUUAAAGUUGUUGCAGUUAAAAAGCUCGUAGUUGGAUUUCUGAUCGAGACAUCAGGUCGGGUCCGAGAGGAUCAUGUACUUUGAUUUUGUUUUGAUCAUCCUUGGGGAGAGCAUUUCUGGCAUUCAGUUGUCGGGAUUGGGAUCCUCAUCGUUUACUGUGGAAAAAUUAGAGUGUUCAAAGCAGGCCUCGGCCUCUGAAUACAUUAGCAUGGAAUAAUAAGAUAGGACUUUGGUGGUCUAUUUUGUUGGUUUGCACGCCAAAGUAAUGAUUAAUAGGGAUAGUUGGGGGUAUUCGUAUUCAAUUGUCAGAGGUGAAAUUCUUGGAUUUAUGGAAGACGAACUACUGCGAAAGCAUUUACCAAGGAUGUUUUCAUUAA